RNAcentral lists this ribosomal RNA (402 nucleotides) under uncultured bacterium. Its description in RNAcentral is "bacterial SSU rRNA". It matches the Rfam family "Bacterial small subunit ribosomal RNA", at positions 331 to 725 of the family's 1533-position model. The record is from RNAcentral.
CCAGACUCCUACGGGAGGCAGCAGUGGGGAAUAUUGCACAAUGGGCGCAAGCCUGAUGCAGCCAUGCCGCGUGUAUGAAGAAGGCCUUCGGGUUGUAAAGUACUUUCAGCGGGGAGGAAGGCGCUGAGGUUAAUAACCUCAGCAAUUGACGUUACCCGCAGAAGAAGCACCGGCUAACUCCGUGCCAGCAGCCGCGGUAAUACGGAGGGUGCAAGCGUUAAUCGGAAUUACUGGGCGUAAAGCGCACGCAGGCGGCCUGUCAAGUCGGAUGUGAAAUCCCCGGGCUCAACCUGGGAACUGCAUUCGAAACUGGCAGGCUUGAGUCUCGUAGAGGGGGGUAGAAUUCCAGGAGUAGCGGUGAAAUGCGGAGAGAUCUAGAGGAAUACCGGUGGCGAAGGCGGC